ACGGCGAGUGAAGCGGCAAAAGCUCAAAUUUGAAACCCUCGGGAUUGUAAUUUGAAGAUUUGGCAUUGGAGAAAGCUAACCCAAGUUGCUUGGAAUAGUACGUCAUAGAGGGUGACAACCCCGUCUGGCUAACCGUUCUCCAUGUAUUGCCUUAUCAAAGAGUCGAGUUGUUUGGGAAUGCAGCUCAAAGUGGGUGGUAAACUCCAUCUAAAGCUAAAUACUGGUGAGAGACCGAUAGCGAACAAGUACUGUGAAGGAAAGGUGAAAAGAACUUUGAAAAGAGAGUGAAAUAGUAUGUGAAAUUGUUGAUAGGGAAGGAAAUGAGUGGGAGAGUGGCCGAGGUUUCAGCCGCCCCUCGUGGGCGGUGUACUGCCGACGCCGAGUCAUCGAUAGCGAGACGAGGGUUACAAAUGGGAGCGCCUUUCGGGCGUUCUCCCCUAACCCUCCACACUGCCACCGACGA
RNAcentral lists this ribosomal RNA (463 nucleotides) under Yarrowia lipolytica. RNAcentral's name for it is "partial large subunit ribosomal RNA". It matches the Rfam family "Eukaryotic large subunit ribosomal RNA", at positions 86 to 498 of the family's 3401-position model. The record is from RNAcentral. Lineage: Eukaryota; Fungi; Ascomycota; Dipodascomycetes; Dipodascales.